GAACCUGGCGGGGACACUAUGAACUGCUAAUUACAUAGUUCCGUGGUUCAACUCCACGGCUUGUUCG
This 67-nucleotide transfer RNA is filed under the name Xenopus fraseri (Fraser's clawed frog). RNAcentral describes it as "tRNA-Ser". RNAcentral also lists the same sequence under 1 other name. The record is from RNAcentral. Lineage: Eukaryota; Metazoa; Chordata; Amphibia; Anura; Pipidae.